RNAcentral lists this transfer RNA (74 nucleotides) under Nippostrongylus brasiliensis. It matches the Rfam family "tRNA". From Rfam's summary of the family: Transfer RNA (tRNA) molecules are approximately 80 nucleotides in length. Their secondary structure includes four short double-helical elements and three loops (D, anti-codon, and T loops). Further hydrogen bonds mediate the characteristic L-shaped molecular structure. tRNAs have two regions of fundamental functional importance: the anti-codon, which is responsible for specific mRNA codon recognition, and the 3' end, to which the tRNAs corresponding amino acid is attached (by aminoacyl-tRNA synthetases). tRNAs cope with the degeneracy of the genetic code in two manners: having more than one tRNA (with a specific anti-codon) for a particular amino acid; and 'wobble' base-pairing, i.e. permitting non-standard base-pairing at the 3rd anti-codon position. The record is from Rfam by way of RNAcentral. Lineage: Eukaryota; Metazoa; Nematoda; Chromadorea; Rhabditida; Heligmosomidae.
GUCUCAGUGGCGUAGUGCUUAGCGCACGAGCCGCGGGUAGGCGCGAGACGUGGGUUCGAUUCCCGCCUGAGAUG